This 720-nucleotide ribosomal RNA is filed under the name Hastigerina pelagica. RNAcentral's name for it is "SSU rRNA". It matches the Rfam family "Eukaryotic small subunit ribosomal RNA", at positions 1219 to 1653 of the family's 1831-position model. The record is from RNAcentral. Lineage: Eukaryota; Foraminifera; Rotaliida; Hantkeninidae.
CGGGUCCGGACACACUGAGGAUUGACAGACAGUAUUCAUGCCGAUUGAAUUUCGACAUAUUUCAAAUGUGCGAGUUCUUUCAUGAUUGUGUGAUAGGUGGUGCAUGGCCGUUCUUAGUUCGUGGAGUUAUCUGUCUGCUUAAUUGCGUUUCAUAUUUACGAAUGUCGCUUACGUGAUUGCUGCAGACCUCGCGUCUCUUUAUUGAGUUGCGACGCGUCUCUUCAACUCACUCGCACAUUCUCUUGAACGCAACGAGCGUGACCGCAACCUCUUGUUGUGUAUACCAAGUGUGUCGUUGCUUGCAACUCACACUCCAAUGCACGUAUUUUGGUCACAUUGUCUCGGUGCCGUCGCGCGCAGCCUCGGCUGUGUCGGCGUGCCAGCAAUGUCCAAAUAAACUUGAGGGACCGCUGUAACAAUUCUUUUAAACCAGAGGAAGGUUGCGGCAAUAACAGGUCUGUGAUGCCCUUAGAUGUCCCGGGCUGCACACGUGCUACAAUGAUCAGUACAGUGAGCAUCUUUGCAAUACCAGCGUUUGGAGGCCUGGCCAAGUCACUUGUGACUUCGGCUUGCAGUCUCUACGUUGCCUUCCCAAGUCUGACAAGAUUUGGAAAUCCAUUGGAAGUCCUGAAUCAAUCCCUAUUGAGCAUUUUUCUCUACAGUGGCGCCAGACUUCGUCCCAUGUCGGUUCGCCUGACUUGUGCGGCACUUGGCGUCUAC